This 502-nucleotide ribosomal RNA is filed under the name uncultured bacterium. RNAcentral describes it as "partial 16S ribosomal RNA". It matches the Rfam family "Bacterial small subunit ribosomal RNA", at positions 28 to 507 of the family's 1533-position model. The record is from RNAcentral.
GACGAACGCUGGCGGCGUGCUUAACACAUGCAAGUCGAACGGUGAAGGGGUCUGCUUUUGUGGGCCCUGGAUGAGUGGCGAACGGGUGAGUAACACGUGAGUAACCUGCCCCCUUCUUCUGGAUAACCGCAUGAAAGUGUGGCUAAUACGGGAUAUUCUGGGUCUGUCGCAUGAUGGGUCUGGGAAAGAUUGCGCCUUUGGGUGUUUUUGGUGGGGGAUGGGCUCGCGGCCUAUCAGCUUGUUGGUGGGGGGAUGGCCUACCAAGGCGGUGACGGGUAGCCGGCCUGAGAGGGUGGACGGUCACACUGGGACUGAGACACGGCCCAGACUCCUACGGGAGGCAGCAGUGGGGAAUAUUGCACAAUGGGCGCAAGCCUGAUGCAGCGACGCCGCGUGAGGGAUGGAGGCCUUCGGGUUGUAAACCUCUUUCGCCAGUGAAGCAGGCCUGCUCCUUGUGGGUGGGUUGACGGUAGCUGGAGAAGAAGCGCCGGCUAACUACGUG